GAUGAACGCUGACAGAAUGCUUAACACAUGCAAGUCUUUGGCGAAGCUGUGCUUGCACAGCCUAGCCAGGUCGGACGGGUGAGUAACGCGUCAGGAACUUGCCCUGCAGUCAGGGAUAACAGACGGAAACGACUGAUAAGACCUGGUAAAGUCAGGCGGACUCAUGUCUAGCCUGAUGAAAAGUGAUGCUGCAGGAGAGCCUUGCGUCCUAUUAGCUUGUUGGUGGGGUAACGGCCCACCAAGGCGAUGAUAGGUAGCCGGCCUGAGAGGGUGGACGGCCACAAGGGGACUGAGAGACGGCCCUAACGCCUACGGGAGGCAGCAGUGGGGAAUAUUGGACAAUGGGGGCAACACUGAUCCGGCAAUUCUGUGUGCACGAUGAAGGUUUUCGGAUUGUAAAGUGCUUUCAGCAGGGAAGAAAAAAAUGACGGUACCUGCAGAAGAAGCGACGGCUAAAUACGUG
RNAcentral lists this ribosomal RNA (463 nucleotides) under uncultured bacterium. Its description in RNAcentral is "partial 16S ribosomal RNA". It matches the Rfam family "Bacterial small subunit ribosomal RNA", at positions 28 to 507 of the family's 1533-position model. The record is from RNAcentral.